RNAcentral lists this ribosomal RNA (301 nucleotides) under uncultured bacterium. Its description in RNAcentral is "partial 16S ribosomal RNA". It matches the Rfam family "Bacterial small subunit ribosomal RNA", at positions 509 to 807 of the family's 1533-position model. The record is from RNAcentral.
CAGCCGCCGCGGUAAUACAGAGGGUGCGAGCGUUAAUCGGAUUUACUGGGCGUAAAGCGUGCGUAGGCGGCUUUUUAAGUCGGAUGUGAAAUCCCUGAGCUUAACUUAGGAAUUGCAUUCGAUACUGGGAAGCUAGAGUAUGGGAGAGGAUGGUAGAAUUCCAGGUGUAGCGGUGAAAUGCGUAGAGAUCUGGAGGAAUACCGAUGGCGAAGGCAGCCAUCUGGCCUAAUACUGACGCUGAGGUACGAAAGCAUGGGGAGCAAACAGUAUUAGAUACCCCCGUAGUCCCUGUCUCUUAUAC